Molecule: ribosomal RNA, 237 nt
Filed under: uncultured bacterium
Lineage: Bacteria
Description: partial 16S ribosomal RNA
Rfam family: Bacterial small subunit ribosomal RNA
Source: RNAcentral
GAUCCUGGCUCAGGAUGAACGCUGGCGGCGUGCUUAACACAUGCAAGUCGAACGAUUGAAGCUGGAGCUUGCUCCGGCCGAUUUAGUGGCGGACGGGUGAGUAACGCGUGGGUAACCUGCCUCAUACAGGGGGGAUAGCAGUUGGAAACGACUGGUAAAACCGCAUAAGCGCACGGUGUCGCAGUGACACAGUGUGAAAACACUCCGGUGGUAUGAGAUGGACCCGCGUCUGAUUAG